RNAcentral lists this ribosomal RNA (253 nucleotides) under uncultured bacterium. RNAcentral's name for it is "partial 16S ribosomal RNA". It matches the Rfam family "Bacterial small subunit ribosomal RNA", at positions 524 to 776 of the family's 1533-position model. The record is from RNAcentral.
UACGUAGGGGGCUAGCGUUGUCCGGAUUUACUGGGCGUAAAGAGCGCGCAGGCGGUCGUUCAAGUCGCGUGUGAAAGCCCCCGGCUCAACUGGGGAGGGUCACGCGAUACUGAUCGACUCGAAGGCAGGAGAGGGAAGUGGAAUUCCCGGUGUAGUGGUGAAAUGCGUAGAUAUCGGGAGGAACACCAGUGGCGAAGGCGGCUUCCUGGCCUGUUCUUGACGCUGAGGCGCGAAAGCUAGGGGAGCAAACGGG